UGGCUCUCGCAUCGAUGAAGAACGCAGCGAAAUGUGAUAAGUAAUGUGAAUUGCAGAAUUCAGUGAAUCAUCGAAUCUUUGAACGCACCUUGCGCUCUCUGGUAUUCCGGAGAGCAUGUCUGUUUGAGUGUCAUGAACUCUUCAACCCACCGGUUCCUUGUUGGAUCGAGUUGGAGUUUGGAUCUUGAACGUUGCUGGCUUACUCUUAAUUUCGGUUAAGGGAAAAAAAGCGUAGCUCGUUCGUAAUACAUUAGCAUCUCAAUUUCUGAACUUCGGAUUGACUCAGCGUUAUAGACUAUUCGCUGAGGACACAAGUAACAUUGUGGCCGAGUUGAAAGAUAACUAGAAGCUUCUAAUCCCUUACUAGUCAAAACUAUAAGAUUAGACCUCAGAUCAGGCAGGAUUACCCGCUGA
Molecule: unclassified non-coding RNA, 414 nt
Filed under: uncultured fungus
Lineage: Eukaryota; Fungi
Description: partial contains 5.8S ribosomal RNA and internal transcribed spacer 2
Rfam family: 5.8S ribosomal RNA (bases 1-133)
Source: RNAcentral